GAGAGGCUCCUGGAAUUUGAGAUUUAAACAAUCUUUUCAUAUCCUGGAGAGCUGAAACUUAGAUUAACUUAGAUCCUCUUUCCAAGGAUAUAAAGACAAGGACUGACCAGGAAGGAGACGCUUUAGCAUGUUAGUUGCCUGCAGUCAUGCAGAGAGCUCCAGGGUUCCACUUCCUGAGCUGUCACCCACACUUGGGUGGGCUCUGGUGCUGCAGUCUUUAAGUGCGCACUUCUAUUGGAGAUGGAUCAAAAUCCAGAAGAAACCACAGGCUCUGCCAAUUGGGCUAAGUCCACUGAAGCAGGCAGAAACAGCUGAAGUAUCAGGUGAAGUUCUUUGGUGCAUUUCUCUCCAUGAAGUCUUGAUAAAUGAUGAUCAAUAAUGAAGGCAAGGUGAACCAGUGCCAAGGUAUUGUCAGCAAAGACCAGAGUCAGCAAGACUGAAUAAAGACCAGCAAAGAGUGACAAGGUAGACCAA
Molecule: long non-coding RNA, 474 nt
Organism: Mastomys coucha (southern multimammate mouse)
Lineage: Eukaryota; Metazoa; Chordata; Mammalia; Rodentia; Muridae
Exons: 2
Source: RefSeq, a predicted model, not a curated record